This 475-nucleotide non-coding RNA is filed under the name Drosophila simulans. Its description in RNAcentral is "Eukaryotic small subunit ribosomal RNA". It matches the Rfam family "Eukaryotic small subunit ribosomal RNA", at positions 1 to 472 of the family's 1831-position model. The record is from Rfam by way of RNAcentral. Lineage: Eukaryota; Metazoa; Arthropoda; Insecta; Diptera; Drosophilidae.
AUUCUGGUUGAUCCUGCCAGUAGUUAUAUGCUUGUCUCAAAGAUUAAGCCAUGCAUGUCUAAGUACACACGAAUUAAAAGUGAAACCGCAAAAGGCUCAUUAUAUCAGUUAUGGUUCCUUAGAUCGUUAACAGUUACUUGGAUAACUGUGGUAAUUCUAGAGCUAAUACAUGCAAUUAAAACAUGAACCUUAUGGGACAUGUGCUUUUAUUAGGCUAAAACCAAGCGAUCGCAAGAUCGUUAUAUUGGUUGAACUCUAGAUAACAUGCAGAUCGUAUGGUCUUGUACCGACGACAGAUCUUUUAAAUGUCUGCCCUAUCAACUUUUGAUGGUAGUAUCUAGGACUACCAUGGUUGCAACGGGUAACGGGGAAUCAGGGUUCGAUUCCGGAGAGGGAGCCUGAGAAACGGCUACCACAUCUAAGGAAGGCAGCAGGCGCGUAAAUUACCCACUCCCAGCUCGGGGAGGUAGUGAAG